UUAAUAAGGGCAAAUGGUGGAUGCCUUGGGACUAGACGCGAUGAAGGACGUGGCGUAGCUGCGAUAAGCUUCGGUAAGGUGUGUAGCAACCUGUGACCCGGAGAUCUCCUAAUGGGAAAACCCAAUCUUGGUUAUACAAGAUUAUCUUUUUGCGAAAGCUUAAAGAAGCAAACCUGGUGAAGUGAAACAUCUCAGUAGCCAGAGGAAAAGAGAACAAUAGUGAUUCCCUUAGUAGCGGCGAGCGAAGAGGGAAAAGCCCAAAACCAUAUUUAUAUGGUGGUUGUAGGGAGAUAACGUCUUUUAGUAGAGGAAGUUUAAAAGUUAAGUUAAUUAAUUGAAGUUUCUGGAAAGAAACGCCAUAGAAGGUGAUAGCCCUGUAAGUGAAAAUUAAUUUACACUUCUUGUUAUCUUUCCUGAGUACCGUCGGAUCAAGAAAAGUCGGCGGGAAUCCAGCAGGACUACCUGCUAAGGCUAAAUACAAUCUAGUCACCGAUAGUGAACCAGUACCGUGAGGGAAAGGUGAAAAGCAGUCCGAUAAGGACGGUGAAAUAGAACCUGAAACCAUUAUGCCUACAAGGAGUCAGAGCUAUUUUUUAAAUAGUGAUGGCGUGCUUUUUGCAGAACGAGCCAACGAGUUUUUCUUGUCAAUUGUCUAAGUGCUUAUGGCACGUAAGCUUAGGGAAACCAAGUCUUAACAGGGCGAUUAAAAAUUGGCAGGAAAAGACCCGAAGCCAGACGAGCUUACCAUGACCAGGAUGAAACUUGCAGAAAUGCAAGCGGAGGUCCGAACCCGUAGGUCGUGCAAUUCCUUGGGAUGAGUUGUGGUAAGGAGUGAAAAGCUAAUCGAGUUUGGUAAUAGCUGGUUCUUCCCGAAAUAGUUUUAGGGCUAGCCUCGCUUAUUUUGCUUUGGGGGUAGAGCACUGAAAGAGGUAUCAUUGGGCUUCGGCUCGGAUUCUUCUAUCAAACUCCGAAUACCAAAGUAUUUAGAGCGGGAGUCAGACUGUGGGAGCUAAGUUCCAUAGUCGCGAGGGAAACAGCCCAGACCAUCAUCUAAGGUCCCUAAAUCUAAACUAAGUGCAAAGAAGGAGGUGAGAUUUCUCAGAUAGUUAGGAGGUUAGCUUAGAAGCAGCUACCCUUUAAAAAGUGCGUAAUAGCUUACUAAUUAAGAGAUUUUGCGCCGAAGAUUAACGGGGCUCAAGUUUAGUACCGAAGAUAUGGGGUUAUUACUUUUUGUAAUAAUCGGUAGGGAAGCGUUCCUAUUGCACUGAAGCUAAAUCGUGAGGUUUAGUGGAGCGAUAGGAAGUGAGAAUGUUGGCAUAAGUAACCGCAAUUAUGGUGAGAUUCCAUAACGCCGUAAAUCUAAGGUUUCCUUAGCAAUGAUAAUCAGCUAAGGGUUAGGCGGGCCUUAGGAGAAGCCGAAAGGUUUAUCUGAUGGACAGCAGGCUUAAUAUUCCUGCCCUUCAGUAUUCUUCUUUAUAAGUGACGCAACUUUGUAGUCAAAAUAGAUUAUUGGAUUUUUAUUUUGAUGAGUGAGUUGCCAGGAAAAGCUUUUUAAAGGUUAAGAAUAUUGAAACCGUACCGCAAACCAACACAGGUAGAUGAGUAUAAAUGUACUAAGGCGAACAAGUGAAAGCUCCUGAAGGAAUUCGGCAAAAAAGUGGUCGUAACUUCGGAAUAAGACCUUCCUUUGCAUUUAUGUAAAGGACGCAGCUAACGUAUCUCAAGCGACUGUUUAUCAAAAACACAGGUCCCUGCUUAACUCGUAAGAGGAUGUAUAGGGGCUGAGGCCUGACCAGUGCCGGAGUGUUAAGAGUGGCGGUUGUCUCACUUUCACUUUAUAAUAAGAAGGGUUACUUCCUAGGAAUAAAUUAAAUUAAAGUAAAUAUUAACAAAAUUAAAGUGUCUUUAUCAAAUAGAAACUAGGUAGUAAUUUCAACUAUUGUAACGUGUAAGUGGGACAGCUGAUUGCUUCAAGCUUCCGGUGAACGUCCGCGGUAACUCUGACCGUGUUAAAGUAGCGUAAUCCCUUGUCGGGUAAGUUCCGACCCGCAUGAAAGGCUUAACGACUUGAGAACUGUCUCCAGGAGUUGCUUGGUGAAAUUGCAGUGGAGGUGAAAAUGCCUCCUACCUGUGGCUAGACGAGAAGACCCCAGGAGCUUUACUAUACCCUGGUAUUGAAUUAUGGCUUUAAAUGCGUAGAAUAGGUGGGAGACUAUGAUGUCAUGCUUUCGGGCGUGACGGAGUCGCCAGUGAAAUACCACUCUUUUAUUGUCAUGGUUCUAACCUCCAUGCUUUAUUUAGAGCAUGGGGAGACAGUGCUUGGUUGGUAGUUUAAGUGGGGCGCUUUCCUCCUAAAAAGUAGCGGAGGAGUUUAAAGGUUGGCUAGAUCCGGAUGGAAAUCGGAUUGGUCCUACAAAGGGAUAAGCCAGCUUAACUGCAAGGCGGAUAUGCUGCGCAGAUGGGAAACCAGAACUUAGUGAACCGACCUUGGUUCGUAGGACCGAGGGAGAUCAUCAAAUAAAAGCUACCCUGGGGAUAACAGGCUGGUAGUGUCCAAGAGUCCAUAUCAACGACACUGUUCGGCACCUCGAUGUCGGCUCAUCACAUCCUGGGGCUGUAGAAGGUCCCAAGGGUUUGGCUGUUCGCCAAUUAAAGUGGUUCGCGAGCUGGGUUCAGACCGUCGUAAGACAGGUUGGUUUCUAUCUACCACAGGCGCCGAGUCUUGAGAAGAGUUGCCCCUUGUACGAGAGGAUCGGGGUGAACCAAUCUCUGGUGUACCAGCUGUCAUGCCAAUGGCACUGCUGGGUAGCUAUAAUUGGGAAAGGAUAAGAGCUGAAAGCAUCUAAGCUCGAAGCCUACUUCAAGAUUAGGACUCAUACUCAGGUUAGAGACUAUGACCUUGAUAGGGUGCAGGUGUAAGUUCUGUGAAGAAUUGAGCCGAGCACUACUAAUUGA
RNAcentral lists this ribosomal RNA (2955 nucleotides) under Patescibacteria group bacterium. RNAcentral describes it as "23S ribosomal RNA". It matches the Rfam family "Bacterial large subunit ribosomal RNA". The record is from RNAcentral.